GUGAGACAGGCGCUGCAUGGCUGUCGUCAGCUCGUGUUGUGAAAUGUUGGGUUAAGUCCCGCAACGAGCGCAACCCUUAUCCUUUGUUGCCAGCGAUUAGGUCGGGAACUCAAAGGAGACUGCCAGUGAUAAACUGGAGGAAGGUGGGGAUGACGUCAAGUCAUCAUGGCCCUUACGACCAGGGCUACACACGUGCUACAAUGGCGCAUACAAAGAGAAGCGACCUCGC
RNAcentral lists this ribosomal RNA (229 nucleotides) under Salmonella enterica subsp. enterica serovar Senftenberg. RNAcentral describes it as "partial 16S ribosomal RNA". It matches the Rfam family "Bacterial small subunit ribosomal RNA", at positions 1029 to 1258 of the family's 1533-position model. Lineage: Bacteria; Pseudomonadati; Pseudomonadota; Gammaproteobacteria; Enterobacterales; Enterobacteriaceae. The record is from RNAcentral.